GGGGCAAUAGCUCAGUUGGUCAGAGCAGCGGAAUCAUAAUCCGCGGGUCGGCGGUUCAAGUCCGCUUUAUGUUU
Molecule: transfer RNA, 74 nt
Filed under: Parachlamydiales bacterium
Lineage: Bacteria; Pseudomonadati; Chlamydiota; Chlamydiia; Parachlamydiales
Description: tRNA-Met
Rfam family: tRNA
About the family: Transfer RNA (tRNA) molecules are approximately 80 nucleotides in length. Their secondary structure includes four short double-helical elements and three loops (D, anti-codon, and T loops).
Source: RNAcentral